AACGAACGCUGGCGACGUGCCUAAUGCAUGCAAGUCGCACGCAGUACCUUCGGGUGCUGAGUGGCGGACGGCUGAGGAACACGUGGGUAUCUGCCUUGCCGUGGGGGACAACGGGCCGAAAGGUCCGCUAAUCCCGCAUACGUUCCCCUCACGGGGAAGAAAGCAGCAAUGCGCGGCGAGAGGAGCCUGCGGCCCAUCAGGUAGUUGGCGGGGUAAUGGCCCACCAAGCCGGUGACGGGUCCCUGGUCUGAGAGGAUGGCCAGCCACAUUGGGACUGAGAUACGGCCCAGACUCCUACGGGAGGCAGCAGUGGGGAAUCUUGCGCAAUGGCCUAACGGCUGACGCAGCGACGCCGCGUGUGGGAUGAAGCUCUUCGGAGUGUAAACCACUGUUGCCCGGGACGAAUAGCUCGAUUAAUCGAGCCUGACGGUACCGGGUGAGGAAGCACCGGCUAACUCCGUG
This 462-nucleotide ribosomal RNA is filed under the name uncultured bacterium. Its description in RNAcentral is "bacterial SSU rRNA". It matches the Rfam family "Bacterial small subunit ribosomal RNA", at positions 28 to 507 of the family's 1533-position model. The record is from RNAcentral.